GAGUGAACACUCCUGACAUCAGGGCUCCUACAACUGCCUCGUCCCAGCCAAUCUGAUCAGCAAAAGCUUUCCCCUCUGUUGACUCCAAUACCUGCCCGGCAUCAGCUCCCGAGUGGGCCAAAGGGGUGCCCCUCUCACUCCAGAUGUUGCUCCGCAGGAUUGGGGGAAGAAGGGAGCCUAUGAAGCAGACAAUGAGCUCAAUGGCAAAGACAAAAGCCCCACUCAAGGGCAGGAAGAUCCGGGGGAAGGAGCAGGGUCCUGCCAAGGCGGAUUUCUCCCUGCAGGUGCUACGGGGCACCUUCCUCACAGAGCUGGGCCAGAUGGUGCAGACCAGAAGCUGGCCGAGGGGAGAAAGCCUCUCCAGAGAGCGAGCAAGGAAGGAAGAGGAGAUGGCCC
Molecule: long non-coding RNA, 396 nt
Organism: Ailuropoda melanoleuca (giant panda)
Lineage: Eukaryota; Metazoa; Chordata; Mammalia; Carnivora; Ursidae
Exons: 3
Source: RefSeq, a predicted model, not a curated record